RNAcentral lists this long non-coding RNA (2596 nucleotides) under Olea europaea subsp. europaea. The record is from RNAcentral. Lineage: Eukaryota; Viridiplantae; Streptophyta; Magnoliopsida; Lamiales; Oleaceae.
UUCAAAGCUACUUUUUAAAAAAGUAAGGGGCUGUUUUUAAGCCGUUUUUUAUUUUUCGAUUUUCUAAAAUGGUGAAAAUGCGUUAUCCUUCUCAUUUUCGAAAAUAACUUUUCGAAAAAAAAAAUUGUACUAAAAACACAAAAUGUAGAAAACAUGGUAAAAUUAAAAACAUGGCAAACAUCCUCUUUUCCAUUACCGUGCGUGAGAGCAGAGAAGCAACGAAAAUACCUCCCUCACGAUCGAAGACCUGCUACCUUCUUCCUCAACAAUCGACCACCACCCGCUACCUAGAACACCAGAUUUCAUAACCAUUUGAACCCCCUCACCUCCCUCUUCAACCUCUUGUCAUCACCUGGCCACGGAGUUGCCCAAAAUAGCCCCAAUCACCACCCAAAAUCGCGCUAUUAGUCACGAUUUUCGCCAUAUUUCCACCGUCGUCGGCCACCGUUUCGAGCGCGGACCACCACCACUCCACUCCUCCCAACCAGGCGCAUCCAGUACCAACAUAUGUCACCUGCAAUUUUGUCCAGAUUCGAGCGAGAUUGUGAAAGUAGUCUUGUGUGGCAGAUUCGGUCCCAACAAAAUUGAUGAAAUUUUGUUGAUGCAAAUAAUCAAUUUUGCUUUCCAAACAUCAAGGUUGGUUUUUUGAAUGGGUUGGGUUUAGUUUUUGCACAUUUAUUUAUGGUUUCUUGAAUGUUAUUGAAUUCCCUUGUUUUUUUCUCAGGUAAAUUGAAAUAUUGACUAAUAUGUAUUUCAUUAUAAUGCUCGUUGGAUUUUGAUUAUAUUAUGGUUUUUAAAUAAUGGGAUUUUCAUGUUUUGUUAGAUUAUUGGGAGGUUUUGAAGGAAAUCAAAGAAAUAUUCAGAAAUUCCUCCCAGUCUUUAAAGGAUAUGCAGAGGAAUGCUGAUAUUUUUAGUGUGACAAGACUAGAGUGAAACCAAUCUUCAAAAAUAUAAAACAAGAGUUUAUUUCUUAAACCGACUGGGAAUGGUUCAAACGAGAUAUCAUUAUUUUUCCUCUCCCCUUCAUGGUGUGUGAAUUGUAGAAAGAAUUCAGAAAUCAUUGAUCACAUAUUGCUACAUUGUGAUGUUGCUGGAUUGCUUUGGUGUAAACUUCUUGAGGAAGUUGGUUUUAAUUGUGUUUUCCACUGGAAGUGUAUUAGAUUGCUCAUUUAAAAUAUGAUUAAUUUGGUUAAGGAUAAAAGGGGCAUGAUUUGGAUAGAGAAACAAUAUGAUCUUUGAAUGAAAAGAGUUGGGAAGUUUAUAAGUUAUUGGAAAGUCUUGGACAAAAAAUAAUAAUUUACUUCCAUGUUCUAUCAACUUUGUAGUUAUGUCUUUGGGAAUGAUCUAUGUAAAUUGCUCUUGAUCCAGAAAUUACUUAGACCUUCUAACCUUUUCAAUGGGUGAUGUUAUGAAGUCCAUCUAGAUUUCAUGUCCAAACAAGAAUGCAGUUAAAACUUAACAUCUAAGCACACUAAGCCUUUGGCUGAAUAUGAUCGUUUAUUAAGUUCUUACCUAUUUCAACAUUCUUCAUUUUUUAAAACAACUCCUCUCUUAGGCUUUUGAACUGCGUUACUUGAUCUCCCAUGAGAAUCCAGUAAUGCUGUUCAAACAGGAUGCUUAUUGCAUAUGGCUUGUGUAUAGCUUAAUUUUCUGUGAUAUGUUUCUUAUAAGAAGUAGGAAGCAUGAUCGACUUAAUCUCUGGUCAUUCUGUUCAUUAUUUUGAAUGGGUGUGUGCAUCUUUGAAUUAAUGGGUCUUGGCUUAAAUGUUUCAAAUUUUUGAAUUUAUUGAUAGUCAAACUUUAUUUGUCUCCUGAUCUAGUUCACACUUCUCCUAAUCAGUCUUGAAUCUGUUUGUGGCUCAAACCCAACCUGAUCACUGAUUCUGCAAGGUUCAUUAUAUUCCAACCAGAAAGUUUGCCUAACUUAUAUUACAAUAAUAAAACCUCACUUUACUUGCAAGGAAAAAGAGCUAGUCUUUCUUUCCUUUUGCUAAUCUCUUGUGCCCAGCUAACAUAUAGCUGUACAUAAAAACUGGAUUAGGUGCAUUAGACUUGUCUUUUUCAUUUUAUGCUGAUUAAUGAUUAUUCUUUUGGUUUCUCAGAUGGUGGUGACGAUGGAUUUGAUGAUGAUUUUGACAAGAUAUAGCUUGGUAAGUGUAGCGUGUUACUUGCAUCUGUGGCUCUGUGUGUGUGCAUGCGUGUGUCGUGGGAUGGGGCCUCUCUAGUGUUCUCAGAAAUUUCAUUUUGUUUUAUUGAAAUUUGCAAAUGAAACCAACAAAAAAAUUGUUGCCUCUUAACUUUCAUUAGUUUUGCUGGCUUUAUGAACUGAUGUUUGAUUACCAAAUUCCAGUUGCAAAAAGAGCCAAAUUUUGUAUAUACAGUGGAUAUGGUUAGGUUGCAGAAAGAACCAAAUUUUGGUGAUGUGCAACUCAAUAUAGAUGGGAUUGUUUCGCAUUUGUACAUACAAAUGUAUUAUUUGCCUCAAAAGGACUAUAGACUUUUGAUGUAAUUUGUACGCUUGAGGUUUCAAUCAAGACAAGUUUUACAUUUCACGAACAUAUUUCAUGUUAUUGAAUUUCGACUUAUGUUAGUGGUGG